This is a non-coding RNA of Oryza sativa Japonica Group (Japanese rice), 1757 nucleotides long. NCBI's taxonomy places the organism in Eukaryota, Viridiplantae, Streptophyta, Magnoliopsida, Poales, Poaceae. The record is from RefSeq and is a predicted model, not a curated record.
AUCUUUUUACAAAUAAAAACAUUUCUAUAUUAUUUAACAGAGAUUAAUGUAGAUAAUAAAAAACUUUGAUGCUCUCCUCGUUACAUUAUUAAUAAUUAGGAAAAAAAUCAACUCAUAAAGGUAAAAAUCUCAUCCACGCCCGGUCCCUGUCCCGGGGGCGACGCGGGCGGCGAACAAGCCGCGUCGUCCCCGCCCUUCUCCUCCCCUCCCCAGCCUCGCCGCCACCCGAGCCGCCGCCGGCAAAGCCGGGCGGCUGCAAGGAUGGCGGCGGCGGGACUCUCUCUCCCUCGCUCGCGGCCAAGACGGUCGGGACGUCGGCACGGCACGAGCUCAGGGCAUGGCGUCGGCGCCGACCGGCGGCGUCCAGAUCCGGUGCCGUGGUGCCCGGAUCCGGUCCCCCAACGACGGGCGGCGGCGUCCUGGCAGCUCGGCGGCGAGGUUUGGCGGUGGGUUUGGGCGGCGGCGACCUGGCGUGACCUAGCGGCGACGACCUGACGGGAGACGCUGCCGGAGCUGCCUCCGGUAGCCGAGCACGGCGGCGCAGCCAGACGACGGAUGCGGCGGUGGAGGUGCUGCGAGAGCCAGUGGUGACGCCAGCGAUGCGGGAGGAGGCAACGACGCCUCUAGCUAGAUCUGGCUAGCGGUGGCUGCUGCUGCCGACGGCGGCAGUGACGACGGCGGCGGCUGUGGCGUCAUCGACUGCGGCGGCGGGCUGGCGAGGCAGCGGCCGUGGUGGUCGAGGCGUCGUGGAGGCGGUCGUGCGGCCUCGUAGGUGGCGAGGCCUGCCGUGCAGGCGUCGUGGAGGCCGGCAACGUGUGGCUAUUGGAGGCCAGCGUCGUGCGGUAGCGGGAGGGCGUCAUAGAGACCGACGACAUGGAGCUCGCGGGCGGCGACAGCAGGUGCUGGUGGCUGCAGGCUGCGACAGCGGACGGCUUGCGGCGAUGGCCGUGGCGACCGUGGACGUGGCUGCCGUGGCGGAGGAGGUGAGGAUGGUGAUGGAGAGGUGGCUGGGUGUUCGGCAGCAGCGGCUACGGUGGCGGUGACCACGGUCACCGGAGGCAUGGUGGCUUCGGACAGCUAGCCGAGGGUGUGGCAGACGGUUGCAUCUGGCCGGCGUGGCAUCGUUUGGAGGAGGGGUCGGAGACCGGCUUAGCGCAGAGAGGCGCAGCCGAUGGCAGCGGAGGCCGGCUCGGCGCGAGAGGCGCGGGCGGCGGAGCUGGAGGCCGGGUUGGCGCGAGAGGCGCGGCCGAUGGAGGGAGGCCGGGUUGGCGCGAGAGGCGCGUCCGGUGGAGGAGGCCGGCUUGGCGCAAGAGGCGCAGCUGGCGAUGGAGGAGGUGACCUCGGUGUGAGGAGGAGCUGCCGGUGGGUGUAGCGCGGUCUUCGGCGCACGAAGGCUGGCCGGCGGGGGACGCCGGUGCAGGGGUUCCACAUGUCGGCAGAGCUUGAGUGGUGGUGGAGCAUCGGUGCGUCAGCCGUGGAUUCGCAGAUGGUGAGCGGCGGGUGAAAACCUAGCCUGGCCUUAGCCGGACCGACAGCGAUGGUUAAUUCCCCUUCCUGAGGGCGUUGUCGUGCUGUCUCACCCCUCAAGAGUGGUGUAGCGCCCGUUCCGUCGUGGCGCCUAACGGGAAAAUUUAAAUUCAAAAAAAACUAAUUGCGAAAUCUGUUUCUUUGCUUGUUGUCAGUCUCCGUGCCAAUCCCUGAUCUCGAAUCCCCGAUAUAUCGUCAAAUUCAAAUUCCUAAUCCAAAUCCUUCCCAAA